Molecule: ribosomal RNA, 253 nt
Filed under: uncultured bacterium
Lineage: Bacteria
Description: partial 16S ribosomal RNA
Rfam family: Bacterial small subunit ribosomal RNA
Source: RNAcentral
UACGGGGGGAGCAAGCGUUGUUCGGAAUUACUGGGCGUAAAGGGCUCGUAGGUGGCCAACUAAGUCAGACGUGAAAUCCCUCAGCUUAACUGGGGAACUGCGUCUGAUACUGGAUGGCUUGAGUUUGGGAGAGGGAUGCGGAAUUCCAGGUGUAGCGGUGAAAUGCGUAGAUAUCUGGAGGAACACCGGUGGCGAAGGCGGCAUCCUGGACCAACACUGACACUCAUGCACGAAAGCGUGGGGAGCAAACAGG